This is a small nuclear RNA of Ornithodoros turicata, 122 nucleotides long. RefSeq annotates it as U5 spliceosomal RNA. The transcript has a single exon. The record is from RefSeq and is a predicted model, not a curated record. NCBI's taxonomy places the organism in Eukaryota, Metazoa, Arthropoda, Arachnida, Ixodida, Argasidae.
AUGCUCUGGUCUCCCUUCAAAUCCGCGUACUGAUCUUUCGCCUUUUACUAAAGAUCACCGUGGAGGGGGACAGUACAAUUAGCUUCUAGACAAUUUUUGAUAGGCCUAACCCGUUUGGGUAA